UUCUACCCUUUUUCAUUUCAAAGAGGAUACAAUCCACUGGCAGCGUCCUGGGAAAGUUCAAGCAGCUGAGACACUUUAUUACCAACCCCGGGCUCCUUCUGCGGAAGUGGAGAUGACAUCUUACGUGCUCCUUGCCUAUCUUACUGUCCAGCCUGCCCCAUCUUCAGGGGACCUCUCCAAGGCAUCACGCAUUGUGAAGUGGAUUACCAAGCAGCAAAACCCCCAUGGUGGUUUCUCCUCCACUCAGGAUACAGUGGUCGCUCUCCAAGCCCUCUCCAAAUAUGGAGCAGCAACUUUCA
Molecule: long non-coding RNA, 299 nt
Organism: Otolemur garnettii (small-eared galago)
Lineage: Eukaryota; Metazoa; Chordata; Mammalia; Primates; Galagidae
Exons: 2
Source: RefSeq, a predicted model, not a curated record